RNAcentral lists this microRNA precursor (92 nucleotides) under Anopheles funestus (African malaria mosquito). Lineage: Eukaryota; Metazoa; Arthropoda; Insecta; Diptera; Culicidae. The record is from RNAcentral.
ACUUCCUAUCGGCAUCAAUGAGUGUGAUUCUAGUUCUUUCACAUUAAUUUUAUAUUGUGACUAGAUCCACACUCAUUAAUGUAGGUUUGGAG